This 407-nucleotide ribosomal RNA is filed under the name uncultured bacterium. RNAcentral describes it as "partial 16S ribosomal RNA". It matches the Rfam family "Bacterial small subunit ribosomal RNA", at positions 30 to 526 of the family's 1533-position model. The record is from RNAcentral.
AUUGAACGCUGGCGGCAGGCCUAACACAUGCAAGUCGAGCGGAGCGGCGGACGGGUGCGUAAUGCCUAGGCAUCUGCCUGGUAGUGGGGGAUAACGUCCGGAAACGGGCGCUAAUACCGCAUACUAUCAGAUGAGCCUAGGUCGGAUUAGCUAGUUGUUGAGGUAAAGGCCUACCACGGCGACGAUCCGUAACUGGGCUGAGAGGAUGAUCAGUCACACUGGAACUGAGACACGGUCCAGACGCCUAAGGGAGGCAGCAGGGGGGAAUAUUGGACAAUGGGCGAAAGCCUGAUCAAGCCAUGCCGCGUGUGUGAAGAAGGUCUUCGGAUUGUAAAGCACUUUAAGUUGGGAGGCGGUAACAACAGAAGAAGCACCGGCUAACUUCGUGCCAGCCGCCGCGGUAAUAC